GGGCCUGGAGCCUGGGGCUCGCUCGGGCCACUCCGGGGGUGGGGUGCCCUCGGCCUCUCGGCCUGGGGCUCGGUCACUCUGGCACUCUUGGGGGUAACGAGUGCCACUCAUGGGGGACUCGUUGAGCGAUGUGGUCCUUUUGUGGAAUGGAUAGAUCUAAAGAUAAAAGACAAGUUUAAAAUGCCGGUGACUCAGCCGGGGUGUUGUCAAAUAAAUUGGGACGACACCUCUUUGGUCCCAGCAGAUGCUACGUGCUUCGUUAUGGCGAGCUCCGGUGAAGCUCUUCCUGUGCUGUGACUAAUUAUGACCCAGACUCAGAGUGUCUCCUCAGCUCCGGCCAGGAUAAACUCUAACCUCUGUGACAUCACGAUCUGGUGACAGAAGUGAAGCCUGGGAGAUAUUCAACCCACCUAAAAAGGUUGAUUUGUGGUCCACUACUCUCAGGCUUGAAAUGGGAUGUUCUUCUGUAAUAACCUGCCCACCACAAGAUGACGCAG
Astatotilapia calliptera (eastern happy) is the source of this 497-nucleotide long non-coding RNA. Lineage: Eukaryota; Metazoa; Chordata; Actinopteri; Cichliformes; Cichlidae. The record is from Ensembl.